UUUGCCUACGGGGCGCAGCAGUGGGGAAUAUUGCACAAUGGGGGAAACCCUGAUGCAGCGACGCCGCGUGAGUGAAGAAGUAUUUCGGUAUGUAAAGCUCUAUCAGCAGGGAAGAAAAAAGACGGUACCUGACUAAGAAGACCCGGCUAACUACGUGCCAGCAGCAGCGGUAAUACGUAGGGGGCAAGCGUUAUCAGGAUUUACUGGGUGUAAAGGGAGCGUAGACGGCGCGGCAAGACUGAAGUGAAAGGCAGGGGCUUAACCACUGAACUGCUUUGGAAAAUGCCAUGCUAGAGUGCUGGAGG
This 305-nucleotide ribosomal RNA is filed under the name uncultured bacterium. RNAcentral's name for it is "bacterial SSU rRNA". It matches the Rfam family "Bacterial small subunit ribosomal RNA", at positions 334 to 655 of the family's 1533-position model. The record is from RNAcentral.